This is a long non-coding RNA of Pipra filicauda (Wire-tailed manakin), 24791 nucleotides long. RefSeq lists it as uncharacterized. The record is from RefSeq and is a predicted model, not a curated record. The transcript is spliced from 7 exons. NCBI's taxonomy places the organism in Eukaryota, Metazoa, Chordata, Aves, Passeriformes, Pipridae.
CGCAGCGUCGUUCGGACACAGAAACACAGAGUGACAGAAUUGUUUAGGUUGGAAAUGAUCUCUGGGGUCAUCGAGUCCAACCUGCGACCCAACACCACCGUGUCAGCCAGAGCAGUGCCGCGCCCAGUCUUAACACUUCAGGGACGGUGGCCCCACCGCCUCCUUGUGCAGCCCGUUCCAAUGUCUAAUCAUCCUUUCUGUGAAGAAAUUCUCCCUAGUGUCCAACGUAAACCUCCCGUGGAACACCUUGAGACUGUGUCCUCUUGUCUUGCGUUUCCUGGGAGAAGGGACCGACACCCCCAGCCGAAGCGGUGGAUAGCAGAGAGGAGGGCACGGAUAACAGCGUGAGCCGCCGAUGAGAUGGGAUGGAUCCCAAGCGCUCGGAGCAAUGCCGGCCCGGCCCGCCUGGUGGCAAACUGCUUUCACUGGAAGCGCUUCUCCGUUCAGCAGAGUGACUCAGCUGACUUGGGUGAACCCCUGGAACUGUGCUAGCUGGAAACCAGCCUGGACAUGCCCUCUGGCUCCUACCACCGGGGAACUCCCUUAGCUGUGACAUUAUAAUGGGAGGUGGAGACACCUCGAGGAGAGGGUCGAGACAGACAACAGCAAUUACAGUCAAUAACAUCUCUGACUUGCCUCAGUUACAGAAACCUCAGGAGAACUGUCCACCCUUCAAAUCUGUUUUGAUGUGUUUUAAAUGCAUGACAUGGAGCACAGCCACUCUCAGCAGAUUGCAGAAAGAGGCCAUCAAACCAUAACACAUAUUCGGAGGGGAGAGCAAUUUAUUGAUGGCUAUUGGUGCUAUGGAAAUGCUGGAUGCUGAGCCUUUGUUCCCCCAGAAACCUCAGCUCAAGAGGAAGAUCACGUAACAGAAGAGCAAAGGGAGCAUGGAGAAGAUGCCACGAAGAUGCCGCUCAUCUGCUUGAGUGGCUGAGGAAAAAGGAUCCUCAUGUGACAUUGUCUCACCCCCAUGUCUUCUGGAUUUGGUUGUUGCCAGGGUUAGUAUGGCCUUACAGGGAAAAAGAGAGGGGGGAAACCCUUCUGAGGACAUACUUGCACACUUUUUGUGGAAAAUCCAUAUUUUUUUCUGCCUGCACUCUGAGCUGCUGGAAGCUGUGUGCAUUAACCCUGUACAGAGACUGAUCCAGCAUGUUACAAGAUGUGAUUUGAACAAGGUUAUAAGAAGUUACACACUAUAUCUGGGGAGAGAGCAGGAACUUCUCAUAGGAUAUCUAAUAGUUAAUGUUAUAACUCCCUCACCAGUUCUACUCUACACUGGAGUCAGUUUUUCUCAUAUCAGUCUUCUGUGGAUUCCAGUUUUUUGAAAUUUAUGUAAAUUUCUCAUUGGGAUCACUGAUCUGUUGGGGGUUUUCUUCUGGUGUUUUUUCUCUGCUUCACCCACACUUAUCAAAAGCAGGGCUGUCCCACUGUCACAAGGAAAUUAUCACAUACACCACUUUUCUAAUUAUUUCAUUACAGCAAAGGAAACUGGGAAUAGAGAAAGAGUGAAGUUCUCGUUUUAUUUGUAAAUGUUGAGCUUUCAAAACCUUUUCCAUUCCAGAAUGCAUUUAAUUUUAAAUCAAACUUUCUUACAAAAGAAACUCUGAGAACAUUGGUUUUUUUGAUCAGAGAUCUGAUUUCAGUGUCUUUAAAGUGAAAAAAGUUAUUUUAUAUAGCUUCAUCUAACUUCUUAAAUAAUUGUAUAUACUUUUUUCUAUUUUGAAAAGCUUUUCUCAAUAAUGCCAAGUACACUGAAAAUGCCAAAACAGGUCUUUUGGAUAUUAUUGAAAUACCAAUUUUAUUUUGUUAAACAGAAAAAUCAUUAUGUUUUUUCAAAACAGUUGGGCUUCAAAACAAACAUAUUUUUUCCUUUAGCAUUCCUCCACACACAAACACUCAUUAUCUAGGCAAGUAUUUUAAUACUAUGUAACUCUCAUUCUUUUCAAAUUGGUGACUGUGUGGUAAGAGGUACCUCUUCCAAUGAGCUCACUUGGAAAAGCUGUAGCUGCAUGUAUCCAGCCUCUCAGGCUCAGUACUGACUUCCACAAAGGAAAGUAUGCAACUGGAAUUCCUGGAACAGACCUCUCUUGAAGUAUGUGCUUUGUAUCAAAGAUGCUAUUUCUCAAGGAAAAAAAACCCAAAAGCAAAACCACAACAAAACCAAAACCCAGAACAAAACCAUAGCCAACCAAAGCCCAGCCCAUAACAACAGAUCAACAAAAAUAAAGCCACUUGUGUUAUAAAUCAGCUUUUGUCUUGACUUGCAGAAGGUGCAACGGCCCCUUCAUCCGCUCAAAUCCUUCCACUUAGGAAAAAAAAAAAGAAAGUGGAGAUGGAGAAUGUGGCCCGUUGAGCUCAGUGUCUGCACCUCAAACCCUGCAAGCAACUUCUCUUCCCCAGUCUGGUAGUGAUGUUUCUGAUUCCCAGCCUCCCUCUCCAGAAGCUGACAAGCAGCAGCAGCUCUCAUCCCAGGCAGACUUGGGAAAUGACUAAUUAAGCAGUGAUUGCAGGAUUGCUUCCUGCCCUGGGUAUGGGACCACAAGGGUGAAGCUUCAUAAAGCUGCAGUGACCGCAGGAAGUGGUGCUGUGCAUACUCCCACAAUGGGGGCAUUAUGGAGACAUGCCCCGGAGGCUGCCGGAGACCUCGCUGAAUGGAUCCUGAUACCAUCGGGGAAUGGAGUACCUGCUAGUUCAAAGAGAGCCUGAAUGCAGGUUUUAAUCCUUUCUGACAAUUGUUGAGAGGAAAUGGCCUUUCCUCUGACCUUAUCGUUGUAAACAACAACUAGUCAUCAGGUUUGUCCUGCUGAGGGAAUAGUCAAGGUCUGUGCAAGGAUUUUACUUCUGAUUUUUUUUUUUCUCCUCUGAUUACAAUGGUUUAAUUCUCUAGACAUGAAAUGCAUUCUCACCCCUUAAUAUACUGGCUUCAUGUACAUUCUUUCUUAAUUAUUGAGUCCAUGCAGCUCGGCCUGGUUCAAAUUAGCUCCUCAGAGCUGUUGGCAGACAGAGUGGCCAGUUUCAGUACUCAGCCCUGUGGUUGUUUUUGUGAAGGGCUGUUGUGGGAUGCCUUUUGGAUACUCCAGUAUCACCAGAACUGGUGAGACAAGGCGUGAGACAAGCUGACAAACUCUUCUAGCAUGACAGAAAAUCACUGAGAGCUAUUCUGACAUGGCCAAGAGGCAGGAUGGGGAAUUGCUGCUGGGCACCAUUAGCGUGGCAGUUUUAGCAUGAUAGAAGGAUGCAAACACUUCCGGAAUUGCAGAGGUGGGUGGAUUUAUCUCUGUGGAUUCAUAUGGCUUUUAAUGCUAAGACAACACAGAUGACAGAGGAAAUGAGAGGGUAGCUUUUGCUGCUCCUGGAGUUCGAGCUGACUUUCUGUAGCGAGCAGGACAGAGUGACUUUGCAGCAGUAUUGAGAUGCACAUCACAGUGGCCACCUGUGAGCAUCCCCUUCCCAGUUCCUGCUCAUCAGGUGCUAAGUGGUGUAAGGGAGAUCAGCCAUCACAGCCUUUCUGAGAGGGUGAGCUAUUCUGAGAGAGCAGAGCUAUUAGGAGGGCACUUCUGUGCCUGGUCAUAGACCUUGGCAGGCUAUAUAGGAGGUUAGCGAUGGCUUUGUACAAAUGGCUUUUUAAUUCCAGUGGUGGUUAUGGGUAGCACUCACAUGUCUCCUCUUUGGUCCCCCACGCUAAGUCAGACAGCAAGCCAGAAGAGAUUUCUCCCUUGCACUGCACAACCUGGCUGAUCACUGCAAAAUGAAGGAUGGGCUGCACGAGUCAGCCUGCCUGAGCUCUCUGCAAUAAACAGCUUUUCACUGGAGCAAAGGAACAUUCCUUCCCUAGGUAAAGACAAUGAAUUGUAAUUUUUUCUUGUUAUCCUGGUUGACCCAGCUUAACACCUUCUCUGCUUGUAAGGAUUCUUACUAUGUGCUUAACAACAGAAUUGUGGUGUAUUUUCAGCAGGCUGAAGGUCACUAUGUAUAGGUCCAUAUUUCUAGUGAAAAACCUGUAAAGGUUUUUCUGUAAGAGGGAGCAGGUUAAAAGCCACUUUCCUUGGGUUUGGAGGAAUGUCUGAGCAGGCUGUGGCAGGCCAAGGGGAGACUGCUGGGUUUUUAAAGAAAGGAUGUCUGGUUUUCACAACUAUGUACCUGUGGUAACCUUGGGCUGUGUUUUGUGUAACAUAUCCAUGAGGAAGGGGAAAAGCCUAAACACUGGUGGGAGCAGCUUCUGAACGCCACAUACAUCCUCUGCCAAGUGGAUGGUCAAGGUCAGGGUCUCAAGUGGCGAAGUAAACAGGGUUGGAUCUGCCCUGUGCUUUGUCUCUGGCACCCACAUGUGCUGUGGCCAAGAACAGACUGUACCCAAAGGGAUGGGUUUCUCUGAUUUUCAUCAGGGCUGUAGGGCUGUGGGCGGAAGAGGGCAUUAUAACAAACAUUUGCAGUCUGUCCUGUAACCACGUGAAGUUGUUUUGCUUGCGCCAUACCAAAAUGUGUUGGGAUCACUCUGCUUCCAGUUUUGUUCAGAAAACAACUGUACAAGGCUGUGGUGCCUGUGUGCCAGUGGGACUGACGUGAGUAAGUGGGAGUGAUCUCAAGGAGCUCUGAUGUGAUAUGCCUGAAGGACUUUCCUUUCCUGGGGGCUGACCCCUGUGGCAGGGUUGUGUAAUUAGGCUGCUGGGAGAUCUGGUCAUGGGUAUGGUGUGUGCUCUGUAACCUGCAGGACACCGGCAGGUUGUGGGGGCAGUACCACCAUCCCAGUUGCCUUUUGUGUGCUCUCUGCAUCACCUGUGCACUGUCUGCAUCGGGGUCACAUUGUCACAAGACUGAAAGGGAGGCUGUUAGAGGAAGUAUUCCCCUUUCAGUUGGGAUUAACCCAGUAUUUCGGGAAAAAAAAGCUCUCUUUCCGCCCCACCUCUUCUCCCCUCUGAGAUUUACUUGUUUAUGUGUUUGCAGGUGGCAGCUCUUUGCCUUGUUGUGGUAUUACCUGUGCUAAGGAGAAUCAUAAAAAGCUCAAGCAGUUAUUGAUUCAGUAGUGGGAGCCGUUUCAACAGUGAUAAAAUGCCGCCUCUCCCUCAGUUAUGAAAUACCUAUCACAUUUUCUCUGUCCACCCUGAGGUUCCCUUUAAGACUUUUUGAAUUAUUUCCUCCACUUUAUAGAGCUGUAACAAAGGAUGAGUGGCUGGAUCGCUGUGCCAGCUUUACCUGAGUAAAAGGGACCACAGACAGGCUGAAAGGGCACCUGUCAGCAGGCUACUAAUUGCAUGUGUCCAUCAGCAGGUUGUCCUUCUACCAAAGAAUGUUAUCUUGGGAUGAAUCCAUAGGCAGCACAGAAGGAUCUUGUUGAGAGAGGCGGAGCAGGGAGCUGUAGAGUGCUGGUACUUACCUGGAUGGUGUCUUCACAGCAGGUGCAAGAGUGAAAGGGCAGCACCAGCUAUGUGAGAACUGCUCUGCCUUGCAGUGAUUGUGUUAGGAAGGAACACACUUUGCUUUUCUUCCCCACAAGGAACCACUUGCGUUGCAUUUUGCACAGCUCUGCAACAUUUCUGGAAGUCUGCAGUGACUGGUUGGAAUUCUGUGGGGAGUGAAUGCUGCUUUUCCUGCUCGUUUUGUCCCAUGCAUGUUACACUGUGCACUGUCUGUAAAGAAGAGUGAUCUUUUUGUUUCAGAGCUUAGUGAAUACCAUCAUGGAAUGCCUUGGCAGUCUUCAUACCUGAGAAUUGUAUUUUUUUGCUGCACGGGAGCAGCACAUUUUGCUGUUCUGCACAACUCAAGCUGUGGGAGCAUCUAAAUUUCCUUGUGCAGUUCAAAUGUUCCCUGUGGCCUGUCUUGGAAGCUUCUUACUGAGGCCAGGGAAAAGGGCAAUUACUUAAAGAUAUUUGCACGUGGUUAGACUUUUUUCUGAUCUACUGAGAAAUAAUCGCAAUCACUUCCAGAUUCUUUGACUCAAAGAAAGCGUCACCAGAGCUGACAAGGUCUCACUCUCAAUAUGGUCUAUAUUGUAAUUAGGAUGUAUAUUGCCAUCAGCACCCCGAGACCUUGGGAGAACGUGAGCUGAGGAUUUUACUUGUCUGCCCUUAGUGAAUGCAUGUGAGAGUCUCAUGAAUAUUUUUGAAGCAGGUCAAAUACUUGUCAUUGCAAAUCUAUAGAGGCCUUAAUGAAAGCAAUCCUUUGAGCAGGAGUGAAGGUGGAUUUCUCCUUCCUUACAAGAAGGCUCAAGGAACUCUGGAAUAAGUUUGAAGGAGUAGGUAAUGUCUGUGUAGUGAGGUUUUUUUCUCUCUGAAGUUGGGGAGGGGAGGCUCCUGAUCUUCAUUCAGCUGCAGGCUGGCACUUAGCGCAUGUCUGGGGGCAGUGGAAGGGCCAGGCAGGACUGGGAUGGCUGUGAUAUACUUGAUAUGGAAAUUGGGAUGCUUCCCAAAAGCAAGUUUGCUGAUUAUAUGGCAACAAACAACUUGGUGUUAAGGGAUAGGGUAGAAUCUUCUUUUUUGGUAAUUGUAAUUAUUAUUAUUUAGAGGCAAUUACAUUGUUAAAUGAACACCUCACAAACAUUAUUAUCCAGCAAAAAUGUCAGGUGACACUAUGGGAAGGUGGGAAAAACAGUGAAACUGAGGCAGUGUGUCACCUCCCUGAUGCCUCCAGAAUGAGGCAGAGGAAACCCCAACACUGUUGGAAUUCAGCUUUUGUGAAAAAGGGCUUGUGGGUUCUUCUUUUAACCUGACCUGCUAACACAGAUGUGGCUGAACCCCCAAAGGAGGGGGGAGAAUGCAGAGUAUGAUGUGCAAUUCAGGUGGAGGGACAUCAGAAGCUGGUAGGACUGUGCAUCCUGGUCACUUCAGAGCCUGACUGCCAAAAUGUCUGGUGCAAUAUCAACCCCACUGAUUGACUGAGACACAGGACUACUGAGAACCCACGAGGUUUAUCCCUUAUCUCAAUGUAAGUCCUGGAAAUAGAAAGAGGUGGUGUCAGAAGAACUUGCUGUCCACCUGGGGAGCCUGGAACCUCUGCCCACGAAGACUGAGAAGCCUGUAUUUGGCUAUUUAUGUCUUUGGCUGUUGGAAGUGGGCAGCAACCUGUGCUGUUGACCCAAGGUUACAUCCAUGACUAGGACUGAGUUUCAUUCUAUUUCCUUGAGCUUAUGCUGCCAUUCACUGAUUUUUGUUGUUGGAGCUCCUUUGUCUGGUUUGAUUGCAUCCUGACCCUAACCUGGUGAGAUUCCAAGCAGUGCCAUGUUCAAAACAGAAGUUCCCUCCUCCUAAAGCACAUGCAGGAUCACUAGUCCUUUUCUUGUACUCAUAAUGCUCAAGGGGGCUGGAGCUGAGCUUCUGCAGCCCUGGCUGCGUGGUGAUGGAGUUGUUCAUAUGAGAGGAAGCCUGUGUUUUGGUGGACGUGUGGUGUCCUGCCUCCUGUUCCUCAGCAGCCCAAAGGUUUCUCUGUUUUUUAGGGCUUCAUACGUCCAGACAGACUUAUUUUUUUAAAAAGAGAUAGAAUAACCUCUGCUCUGGCCUCAGUGCAGGAAAGCUUACCCCCAAACUCUCUCUCCUGUUGCUUUGCUUGGUGUUGCCUUCGAGCCAGGGAGGACCUUUCCAGUAAACUCCUGCACAAGAGGAGGCCUGUCGCUGUGAACUCUUGCAUAGUAAUUAGAGGAAACAACUUUGGGCUCCCACCACUGCUUAUGCAACAGGGCUGGAUUUGGAGUUGUUUGUCACCAUGCAACCCAGCACCAGCACGCUGGUGCCUCUGUCCUGAAACCCCUCCUUUGCCUCCAUCCCCCAGCUGCUUUGCAGAUUGCAGGAGUUUCUGUCCCACAGUCGGCUCCCAGGUAAAUCCUGUCUGGGACCUUUCGAGGGAAAUCGUAGCCCCUCGGCAGAAAUGGUCCAAGUUUCCAAGGCAACUCUCCUCUAACCCUGUUUUGAACGCUGCCUCGUUCCCAUAGAAAGUUGCCCAUUAGUCUGGUCAGCAGCUGCUGCGGGACCACGCCACCUCCAGAGAAGUUGUUCUUUGCUGGGCUCUUUAUUCCCAUAAUGAGCAGCCGGGGGGCCGCGGGUGGCUUGUGCUGCAGCCCCCGAGCAGGGCCCUGCUGGUGCUCGGGAAGGGCAGCGUGUCCAGCACGGAGCUGUUUUGAGGGGGUGCUUGUGCCUUUCUACCUUCUCAGGGAGAAAGAGGUGCUUGGGGCUCCUGGGAGGUGCGUGGAGCAGGAGGAUCAAGUGCUGAUGGGGCUGCUCUUGGGGGUUUUCUGGCGAGCGGGAAGGUGACAAGUGAAUAAAAAGGACACGGCAUUUUAUUUAAUUAGAAAAACCAAACUCCCUAAAACUAGCCUCCGAAGGGCCUCCGUUGUCAUCAGCUGCACAAAGAGCUGUGACAAAUGAAAGGAACUGAGCAGAGAAAAGGCUGCUUUCUCUUUGUGUCUCUUUCCCAGCUUCUGUUUGCUUUGCUGUCUCCCUUGCUCCCAUUGAUCAGGCAUGUGGAAACAUUCCUCCUCCUGCGCUCCCAUUGUGGCCGCCCGGUUGCCAGGCUGCCGUUGGCUUGAAUAACUUCACUAAGCCAGGCCUCUCCAAAACCAUGCCAUCCGGCGUGCUGGAUGCGGAGCCAGACACUGCCCUCCCAUCCUCCUCCUCUCCCUCCCCCUCCCCAGCAGCAAUGGGGUGCAGUGAAAAAAUGUGCCAAAGAACAAGGGAGGUAACGCGGAGCCCCAGCUGGCCCGACGCGGGGGAGAGGCGUGAGCUCGCCCUAAGAAAAUGGGGGCAGCAAGGAGGGGACAAUGGCCAGCCUGGGUCGCUGCCUUAAAAAGAGGGUGGGUGGUGGUGGUGGUGGUGAGGGCUGUUAGCCCAAAGUUCCUGAGCAGAGAGGAGACAGAAAGGCACGUUUCCAGGGGAUACAAGCUAGUAAAGUGCAGUGAGGUAAACCCCAGCCUUGUAUCCUGUGGAGGGGAGAGGUGGCGAGGACAAAACAGGAGACAGCAGGCAGCCGGCUGUGACUGAGAGUGAUUCGUGGCCAGCUCUCACUGGCUGUGCCACAAACAUGUCCCUACAGCAUGCAGGGCACCUUGGGCCAAGCUGCUGGCUUGUGCAGCGCCUCUUGAUGAUGUGACACCAGUGUCUGGUGCAGGUGACAGCUCUGGCACAGAGUGUGGCUGCACUCCUGAAGACAGUUCAGGGGCAGGCCAGAGGUUGUACCCCUGGGACUUGCCCUUGGAAUUAACUUGGGGUGGCUCUGGUGCUGAAGACAUUGGGCUGCCAGCCCAGGGACCUGGGGGGCUUGUGCUGUCUCUGCAGAGGGGUGGCACCCACCCGAACCCGCCCGCUGCCUACAGCCGUUAUUGUGCUGGGUACGAAUCUGGCCUAUUGUUCUUAAUGCUAUUUUUCAUCGGUGAAAUAGCAGUGAGCAAUCUGUGCUUUCAGACGUGCUUUUGACUCAGCACAGCCGGGGCUGGAUCCUCAGCUGGUGUAAAGCAGCCCUGGCCCAUCAGCUCGCGGAGUCACCCGUGACCCCCAUUUAGUCUUCGCCCCACUGGCAGCUGUGUCCCGGCGCUCUGGAUCAGAGGAGCUGUAUGACCACGGGCUGAGGCUGUGGCCAGGCACAGGAUCCCCUCCGGGUGCCGCCAGGUCUGUCCACAGGGGUGGCCCCUGCAUCCCAGGAGGUGGAGGGAGAUGUCCUGGGGCAGCUGGAGCCUAAGCCAGGCUGGGUUUGCUCUGCAGAGGGGUCCCGGGUUUGUGCUGGGUUUGAAGGGCAGGGACUGCUGAGCUCAGGUGAUUAACAUAACAAUCCUGGGGCUCUGCCUUCAUCCUGCGGCUAAAGCCUGGUUUGCUCAAUCCAAUUUCCAGCCUCUGCCCUUUCUUUAGCAGGCUAAUUACAGCGGCAGGACAGUGGAAAUGACCUUCUUAAAGCCACAGUGCCCCUCAUCUACUUACCUGUCAAAACACAGGAGACAGAGCACUGGUAUCAUUCAGAGAAAUAACAUGUUUAGAUACAAUGAGUGAACGUACUGAAGUGCAGAGCUCUCCCUUGAAGUUCCCAGUAGGAAUUUGUGUGUGGUUAUCAGUAGUGACUGUGCAUUUGUAAAGAACUUUCCAAGCGAGGUCCGCUGGCCAGCAGGCCCAUGGAGGUGCGGGUUUGUGCAAAUUUAAGGAACAGUGAGUGUGCAAUAUUACACUGAUAAAUGUGCAAAUGCUACCACCUGUGAGGGCACUGGGCUGGAAAGCUUCCGCAGCGCUGGCUUCUCUCAUUAGUCAUCCUAGCCUCAUUCUGUCUGUAGCACGGAGAGCCUGGCUCCAGUGCAGCUCUGGCCUCCUCCCGCACAAAUUUGGAUGUGGCCUUUGGGCCCGGAGAAGCUGUGAGUGCUCUGAUGGCUGAUCCUGCAGGUAACUACUGCCUGGCAUGGGCUGGAGCAGGAGCUUGUGUGUGGAACCUGCCUGGGGGCUGCAGCUUCAGAUGAAGCAGAAUGGGAAGCUGCAAUCUGCAGGAAACCCUUGGGCUCAGCACAGGAUGCUGAUGUGGCCAUUGACAGAGCAAAGGAUGGGUGUUCCCAGCGUCCUUGCAAGGGCUUCUCCACUGGAGCAGAAACAAGUGAUUUCCGAGGAGGGUAGGGCAUGUUUCUGUAUGAGUGCUCUGACCAGACCUGUGCUGUAGGUGGUCUUCGUAUUAUAGUUCUUGAAACUGUGUCAGCAGCCACACAAAUCUGCCCCUUCACAGAAAGUAAAAUCUUGUGCCUGACCACUAGCUUGGCACAGGAUAAAUCUGUUGUGGUCCUGUUGAAACUGUCAGUGAUCUCUUGUUAGGGCUGAGUUUUGCUUAGGAUUGGCUUCAUUUUGUGAUUUUAGUAGUCACAAAGCAAGAGGCAAUCUCCUGGAUGCAGGAGGACCUGUGAGGUGAAGCCAGUCUAAUCGGUGGAGCAGCCGUAGCUAAACUGCUUCUGGAGCUGAAAGAAUGGGUUUGCUAUCUCUGCUGCUGGGAAAGGAGGAAAUAUGGUGAGCAUCGUGAGGUUUAAUGUAACGAAACAGGCCAGGAAUAAAAUUAACUGGAUAGCUGCUGCAGAUGUGUCAGUCACACUUUGCCCCAAAGCCACUGCUGAUUGCUGAGAUACCUGUUCCGUCAGGCAUUGAGAAGAGGUAGCAAAACAAUUUUCAAUUCAUGGCAGUCUUGGAGACCUGCUGCACACAGCAAAUUUGAUGCUGUGAUAACUGACACUGUUUGUGACAGACAAAUCUGUGGCUUGUGUGGUGAAGCAGUUCAGAAGUGCCUGCUGUCGCAUACCAAGAGGUUGCGGAAAUGGGACUUGCUAGGAAAAAUGUUGCAAGAGGAUCCCAACCACCAAAGCCAUCCACUGAAAACCAUAGGAGAGCAACAAGAUAUUUGAGCAUACUGAGAGGGUUUUUUUUUCCCCCCAAUUAUUUUUCUUUCCAAAAGCACAAAUGGUCUGAUCCUGUUGGAAGCUACAAAAUAGGGGACUGUUGAGAAACAAGCUGGAAUUGGGAAAACUAAUACUCCAGCACUGAAGUAUAAACUGAACAUAUCUGAAAGAGAAAGAAACAAUUACAGGAAAGCCUGUUACUAGCAAACUACUGGGAGGAGGGCAAAUGCAUCCAGGGCAACAAGUCUAGGAUAAAUACAAGGAACAGUGUUGGAGGCAUGACCUUGCCCAUCUUUAUUACGACAGCCUUUUCCUACAUUUUGUUACUGGGAAGAUAGACACAGGAGUUGUUCUGUCUCUAACAUGGAAUGCAGGGUUGUAGGAAACAGUGCAGUUGCUUAGUCCUGUGCAGAGGGAUGUGGCUUUCUGGCAGGGCAGGGAUCGUGUUAGAACUGUGCACAAUAAGAUGAACCCACAAAUGUUACCGUUGAUGAUGAAGAGCAGCUGGUUGCCUCAAGUGAGUCAGAUGUAAUUUGAAAUUAUGCCUGUGGAUUAUUUAGAACUCUUAAGAUAGAAAAUUAAAUAAAUCUGUGUGCAGUGUGUAUGCUACCUGUAAUGCAGGUGCACUAUGAGAAGACACAAGCUGAAGCACACAAUAAACAUUGCUUGGAAAGGGAAAAGAAUGUCUCCAUAAUAGGAUUUGAGGGGCUCCUUGUUUAUGUUUUCCCAUGUGAGCUCUCCAAGGGAGACUCCCUUGUUGGAGGAAAGCCCUGCUGUUCCUGUCACUGGUCAAGUGGUGACAGUGGGCAGCUUGGCAGAAUCUGUGUGUAGACUUUGCAGUAUUAGGAAUCAAGGCAAGUGGUGUUAUCUCUUCUCCAUGUGUGGUUAAAUGCUUUCUCUGUAGCUGGUGCCAGGCACUGUCGCGGCCCACUGCUCACAAAUGCCUUUGCCAGGUGGAGACCACGUCUGCUUUCAGCUGGAGUUAAGGACCAAAUGAGAUUGCAGUCUAUAUGUCACUUCUAAAUGACACUUAGGCUCCUAUUUCAAAGAGGAGGUUUGGAAAACUGGGUCCUAUGACACUUUCAAUGGGAGAAUACACCAAUCUCUCUUUUUCCUGCGCUCUGAAAUACAUGAAUAACCCACAUGUGUGAGAGCUACCCUGUACCACAGCUGUGUCAGGGGAGGAUCUUGUGUUUCCUUCAGAUUUCACACCACAGUAGGUGACCCUGAUCAGACAGUCUCUCAGAGAGAAGCCAUCAUGGAAAUGCUGUUUGCAGCAUCCCACACUGUCCUCACACAGAAGUCAGAGCCCUCCUGUUUGAGUCUGUGCAGUAAUCAGUUGCACUGCCCCUGUUUUGGGGGAGAUUAGUGCCAUGGUGUCUACAAGCAGAGAUUGUGCAGUCUAAUUUUGUAAUGAAGAAUUAUAAUGAAACAGUAGGCAGUGCUUCCUGUAAAGAAUAUCUGCUGUGUGUGGCUUUGUGCAGGAUAAACUGUCUGGCUUAAAUAUAGAAGCAGUGUUCUUCUGUCAGGAACUCCAGAGAAAAUGCAUUCGAGUUGGUGUUUGCUGGCAGUGUGUUUGGUAUGUCAUUCACUUACCUAUCUAAAUUCCAAAUGUAGUAGUUAAACCAACGUUAAUUCAUUCUCUUGUGAUGUACUGGACUGAUGGAAAUCAUUGUACAUUUGUGAGAUGUGUGUUCCACAUCACAGUGGAGCAGUUGUCUGUCAGGGUCUGGCUCACAGGUACCCAGGGUCACUGGGCAGGGUGCUGAACCUCCUACAACACUGACUUCACUCACAAGGACCUUGUUUCAGCUAUGUCUGUGGCAGACUCUUAGUAACAAAACUUCUGUCUGAAACGUGCUGUGUCUGGCAAAACAAGCAGCAGCUCCUGUGAGGUCCUUCCAAGCAGAUUUCUCUCACCACCAUUAUUCUCCAUGCACAUGCCCUCCAUGCCUAUCCCAGGAUUUGCUUCCUUCCUUCUGGUGAUCUGUUAUUUUGGAGCACAGGCUCACAGAGCCAAGCUAGAGGAUCUCCAAGGGAAGUUUUAAGUGUUCAAUAAAAGAAGGAAUGCAGGGAGAAAAGAAAGCACCGACUCAAAUGGCAUCAUUCUCUUUCCCUCAUCCCUUUGAGGUUCUCCUGCCUUCCCUGCCUGCGUGUGACCUCCCUCCUCUCCCAAGCAGCCUCUUUCUUUUUUCAGUCUUCCUCCUGCCCCUCACCCUCCUAGUUCAUUGAUCUCCCUUUAGGCUUUAUUAGUGACUCCCCCUCCCACCCUUUCUCUCCCUCAGUUUUUCUGAUUCUCUAACAUGAGACAAUUGAAUGAGGCCAGACUCCUAAGCCGAAGCCAGGGGUGAGAGGGAAGAGGCGUUAAGAUUUAAUGAUAUUGCCUCUUUAAGGAAUCCCUAAUUCCUAACACCCAUCUCCUCCCCCACCUGAGAACCAAUUAAAACUCAAUGAAUUCAAGUGGAGGCUUUUGUGCAUCACAUGUGCUUGACUAACAAAGCCUUCUCCAUGCUGGAAUAAAAGCUUCUAUUCAGCAGCCAGUUUGUUCUAAUUCAAAUCACUUCCACUCCAGCAUCCUCUCCUUCCUUGCUGCUCCUGAGUUCCCAGGCUGGGCUGCCACCCGCACAGCCCUGCCCAGAGCUCCGUGCUCCACCUUGCACAGCCCCUCCUCGGUGGCAGUGGAGCAGAGGAUGGGAGAUGACCUUUGUAUGGUUGACUGGGCAGUCCAUGGUCAUUAUGGCCCUGUUCCCAGGAGCCUGCAGGGCUGGGGGUGAGCCUGCAUCGUGCCCUGCAGGAGCUCCAGCCUUGGGAGCUGUCUCCAAAGGGGCUCUGCUCUGCCCUUGGGAAACAGCUCCUCUGGGUGGAGUCCUCUGUGUGCAGACAGAAAAUGACCUUGUCUAUGGGCAGAGCUCAGCCUUCCUUGAAAUGAGUGAAAACUCUCCUUUUCUCUUUGCUGUAGGGGUUAUGCAGAUAUGGGGACACCUGAAGUAACAGGGGAGUCCAAAAGCACACAAAGUCUGAGUCCAAGUAGUUUGUACUUUCAUCUGCCUCAGGGUAUAAAUUGCACUACCUGGGAACCCAAGGGUAGCUAUGUCUUCUAUUGUGCCUUGAAAAUGAGCUUGGAUAAGGUCAUCUGGGGAAUAGAAUACAUUUCAUGCUAUUCAACUUCCAAAUUUAAAAACCUUACUUGAAAGCUUUGCAGCUGCAGAUCUGGGGUUUGGGUGGCUUUAAGUAGAGAGGCAAUUCUCUGUCCAGAUGUUAGUCAGGUAGUCUUCCAGGUGUAAAACAGGCUCUGCUCAGAGCUUCUGCCUGUGCUUUACUGAUCAGUGUUACCUAUCUGGUGGCAAAGCUGUGUGCAUGACAUUAACUGGGUUAUCUUUUCUCUGUUCCUGCAGCCUCCUAUUUGUAGAGACACUUUUGGAUAUUUUCGCUCUUGUGAGAAAUCUCUGGUAGAAGCAGGUUGAGCGCUUUGCUCUGAUGGCAGUGAGGUUUUUACUCCCUCUAAUCUCUCCUGGGAGCGAGCUCCAGCACUGCAGGCCAGCUGCCAAGGAAGCUAUCUGCUCUGCUCCAGAGCCUUGUUCUGGUACAUGGCAAUUGCAUCGCUCCCGGAACACGUGGGUUUCUCAGGGAGCCACGGAGGAGGUAUCCAGCUCUUGAGUAGCUGGGACCUGUCCCACAAAGAGCUCUGGCAAUUGAAAUGAGCCCUUGGAAGCUGGUUUGAUAUUUGCAGAGGCACCAAUGCUGAGAGGAGCGGUUUGGGUUUGCAGGUAGUUAGGGACCUGUGGUGUCUGACAAUGAGGGUAUUACAUUUUAAACUCCUCUGAGAGUCUGUAGGGCUGGUAAUUCUUCCUACCACACUGCCUUGCAGCUGCCCAGCGUGGCAGGGAACAAGUGUUAACACACCUCAGGGUGUGUUGCAGUCUUCUAGUCAACUGUCACGAUAGAAAGAUUUUAAUAUCUCUUAGCAGUCCUGUUCCUUGCUAUGGCUGUGGUCUCUCACAUCUUAGCACCAAACCCCAGCUCUGGCCAACAACUAGAGCUGAAUGUGUUUUACUGUUCCCAAAGAGCAUGUUUGGGUCUAUACUUGUCUGUCUCUUUCAUGGAACACUCCUUUGAUGUCAAGAGACUUUUGCUAUUUAGUAAAUUGGCACCCAUUUUUCAUCCAGCUUUUUUCCUGUAAGUGCAAGUUGGCCUCUUGUUGCAAUGAUGUGCAGAGUUGAAAAAAAAAUUUUGCUGUGAAUAGGUUUUCCCCUAGAAAACCCAGUCCUAUGUCUACAUAACUGCAAAAGAGCAGGGACUCUGACAAGAUGCAAAAUGCACGAGGUGCUCAUGCUGACCCACAAAUUGUACAGAACCAUUCGUUAGGUGACGAGUUAAUUUCAGGUAACGCUGUGUGGCACCGUGACAGUGGAAUCUCUGCCCAUCAGUGUGGUGAGGGGGAAGAAGAUGAGAUCAAAAUCUGUUGGUUUGAAAAAAUACUUCGUUCCUUGUGAGUUAGGUAGUCCUGAUUAUUUGGAGGAAGUUAAAAAGUAUUUCCCUUUACAGCUUUGAGUUAUUUUCUGCAACAUGUUCUUUCUGAAGAUCUCGAAGCGUCUUUGGUUUUUGGGGGUUUCUUUGAGGUAGGGAAGAAAAACCUCAGUUUUCAAGUAGUAAAACAGAAGUUUCUUGGCCCAAAUCACCCAGCCAAUCUGCGAGAAGAGGUUGGAGCAGCACAAACAACUCAAAAGCUUUACUGAAGAGCUCACUCCUCUUGAGCCUCCUGCGAAAUGCAGCAACUGUGUAGUAGCACUCUAAGGUGGGGGCUGCCAGUGCUGUUUGCCUGUUUGGGGCCUGGGCCUGGCACAGCUUAGUUGGUCCCUAGGCUUUUCUGUAAUAAACAAGCUUAAUUGAAGAGAGCAGAAGAUCUGGGCUCACGGGGUUGUGGGGCUCAGUGGGAGAACAGCCCCUGCCUUCGUGAGGCAGCUGAGCUCUCCCGUGUCCAACACUGACCUUCGUCUCUGGGGCUCUGCUCUUUGUUCCUGUUUCUUGUUAGUGAAAUGAGUUUGAUGGUCUCAGACUUGCUAGUAAAUGGUUUCUACUUCAAAACAAAGUGCAGUUAGUUUGGCAGGAGAGUCCCAGGUCUGACCUAAAACUAAAUUACAGCUGACCCUGAGACAGUGAGGCCCCUCCAGGUCAGGGACAAGGGCAUUGUCAGGACACUGGGAGCUUGCACUGUAAUUAGCAGCAAAGGUAUCAAAUACCUCCGUUUCCAGCAUUCCUGUCCUUAAAGCAACACAAGCAUAAAAAUCUCAAAAUUUUUCCUGCUACAACCUCACUAAAAACAAAGCAAAAGGGAAGGAAGGCUGAACAAACUUUUAUUGAUUUGCUUUUUCUCUGUUCUGCAGUAAAUCCCUCCCCAUCUUACACUGCCUCCCACAAUCCCUUGUUCCCCCAGCAUCUGGGAAUGAAUUUACCAGACGCUGCAUUGCUUUCAAGGCUCCAGAAUGACCAGCACACUUGAGCACAGUUUGCCUGACAGCAGAAGUGUAUAAGAGCAGCUUUCCUACUUCAAAAACUUGUUUGGCCUCAGAGCUGCUCUCCCAGCAAAUGCCUCUUUUAUUCCCACGUUUCUUCAAAGACCAGAGAGGCUCUUUUAGAUUUACCCUCCAAAACGUGAUUUGUCUUAAAUCACAAACUUUGUGGGGGUUUUGUUGUUUUUUGUUUUUUCCCCACAAACUUUCUCUCACAGGAACAUCACAACAUUUGAGAUAGAAAAACACUUUUACCAGCUUUGUGGAUGUCCAACAGAGUGCCAGUAAACAGAAGCCAAGGUGCUAUUGCAACUAAAAACAUAGAGAAGGUAUAAAUUACCUGAGCAUUAAAUUUUUGACUAGUCACCUGUGCCACUACAAAUGAACAAACACAGAUCUCAGGUGCACACCUUGAGACACCACAAGCUUGUUUUGCCAAAAAUGCUGUGUGCUGAGAGCUUCCCCAGGCCUUCUUUGGAAUGAGGAAUGUUUACUGCAUCUCCAGCUCUUCGACUCAAAUAUUUAAAAUCAGUGGGAAGUUUCGGAAGAUGCCUCCCUGUUUCCAUCUGUCACGAGUGGGCAGUUUCCAAACCCCAGGGGUGUCUGUGAAGCGGCAAACGUGGUGACCCCCAGAGGGGAAAGGCUGGAGCACGGCAGGACAUACUGCACAGGGCUUCCAAAAACACCCGUAUAAUCAGAUUACAAGUCCAGUGAGUCAGGAUGUCUUAAGCCAGAGUGUGAUCCCUCUAUUUCACGUGUAACUUGUGAGAGUCCUCUCUUCUAGUGUCUCCAGAAAGGCACCAAUCAUUCCUGCAAACAGGGGAGUAGACCUGCUCAUUGAUAAAUCAGAAAUAUGGCAGGCAGAUGGAACUAAAAUCUUAAACACAUUUAAUUAAAUAUUUGUAGGAAUCUUGAGCGUGUUUUUUAGUGUUACUAUUCCCCAUUUUGAUACGUGUAUCUGAGAGAAACUUUGGAUUAUAGAGGUUACUGUUUCACUCCUACUUUUAGUAACAUUCCACCAUGAGAGAGGUUUCCUGCUGCUCCUCCCUCUCCCUGCUUUUGUCAGAGUAUCUCCAUGUUGCCUGUGUCUCAGCCCUGAGCUAAAUAGUGCCUUGGACAGCUACUUUGGGAGCUAGUCCUGAGCUGUUGCGCUGCCUUGGCCACGAGCCAGCUGGGAGCUCUGAGGAAUAUAGUUUGUGAAUCACUUCUUGCUCCUGGUGGGAAAAGGGUCAGUGACUCAGUUUACUUCAGCUCAUGGAACUGCAUGGGCAUGAGGUAGGUGGGGAAAAUUCUACCUGAGACAAAAAAAAAAAGAUAAAAGAAAAUGGCACAAGGACCCUAAUGUAGCAGAAUCAGCCUUGAGGGAAAUCCAGAGCAGGCAAAGGCGUGAAAAGAUAAAUGCUUAAAGGCUGUGAAAAGUGAGAAAAAGAUGGGCAAGAAUGGACAAGUAGCAGCAGGAGCAAAGUAUUUCCCACUAGACUAUGAGCAGUGCAGAAUCAGAGCUUGUCUUCUGUCAGAGGUCAGCUCACUGGGUGUGUGGGCAGGGGCAAUCGCUGUGUCUUGGGACCAAAGGACAGAUUCUGAGCCUUUUCCAGUUCCAAACUCAACACAUUUAAAAGCUGGUGAAGGUUGCUGAAACCGGAGCGUUUAGUAACAGCCAUCCCAUUCCAUAAUCCCUAACCUGGGAGGAUCAGGAGCCUGAAGGAGUGAAUGUUGUGCUCUGGGGUGGGGGAAGCCCUCUCUCUCUGGAGGACACCACUCCUGGCCCCGAGAGUCUGUUCUGCUGUAGAAAAGCAGCUCUGAGUACAGCACACACCGGGCCAGUUUGUACCUUGCUGUAGACUGUUCUACAGCAAACAGAAGAAUGACCAGAGAUGUCCAAGUGCCCCUGGUCCCUGGCAGCCUCUCACCUCCCUUCCCCUUGAGCGAGGAAGAGGCUCAGGCAGGAGUUACGUGCACAGGGCAGCUAAGCCGCUCCUGCAGUCUGAGGAUGGGAGCUUUGCCUGGGAAGACACUGGUGUCCGUCUUGAUUAGGAUGUGAUGCCUGAUUUAAGUCAUGUGACAAGUACAAACAAAAUACCUUGGCAAAACCUUGAGGAACCAGGACAGGCUGAGCUGCUUAGGAAGAUUUACAGUGUGUAUUUCUGUCCUGUGCACUUGCCUUGGUCUGAACCUUUCCCAUCUCAGGAACUCCAGGAUGCACCCUGGAUUUUAAAGAUGCUCUUUUCUGUUCACUCCUCCAAAUAAUCUGCAGACCUUCUCAAUGUUGUACUGUUAAGUUUCACAGUUACUUAGUCCCAAUUACUUUACACCACCAUAGUACCAGAAUACUAUAAUAUCAUCCUCUGAGAAGUGCUGUUGGGAUUUGUGGAGCAAAAGUCCCAUCAUCUUAGAUUAGAAAAUAAGUCUUGAAGAAAUGGGAGAGUUAAAAGCCAGUGGAACUGUUAUAGCAGAGGUAGGAAAUCGAUUAUGUCCUGACAGAGAAGGGAUGAAGAAACAGCUUUUGCUUGCUUAGCUCCUGUUCAUGUGUUGAGCCAAAAGUUCUCUGUCUGCUCCUGUGCGUGUCUCUUCCUUCUAGUGCUGCUCUGGGACAGUGCCAGGACCCAGAUUUUCUGCCUCCUGCAAACAUCUCAGCAGGGAAUCCAGUCCUCCUUCCCCUGAGCCCUGUUCUCCCCUUGUUCCUCCAUUCUCUUGGACUCUGCCUUCUUUAAGGCAGAUUUUAGAGGUCCUUGACAUGGUGCUGACUUCAGCCCCAGAUUAAUAAUUCACACAUGCAUCAGACCUGCAGAAGAUGUGCAGAUCCAUGGAUAGUGCAGCAUCACUGGGCCCUGCCUGCUGAGCUGGUGCUGAAGGCCCAGCAGAUUAGACUGGAAAAGCUGUGUUGGCUGUGGUGGAGUGCUGGGGGUUACCCACCCCCCCCUCGCCAGGACACAGGAUUUUAUUUUUAAUUCAGAACUUUAAUACUUUUAAAAAAUGCUAAUACCGAAACCCCUUUUGUCUAAGGGGUUCUGGCAGCCACUGCACUGGCUGGUGCUCUUAAACCUGACCCAGACCUUUCUCUGUUACCCCUGUUCACCCAACUCAUUCCCAGACCUCUUCUCCAGUCCUGGUGGUGUUUGGUGCAGCUCAGCCCGUGCUGCACUGUUACUUGCCCUGACAUGUGGCUGUGGACCAUGGCCUUUAAAUUCCUCUGUUAUUCCUAUUCACCAGCCCCCAUCUGUGCAUUGGAACACACUCAGAACUCCCCUUUCCAUCAGACAAGCCCUCACUUUUGCCUCCAUUACUCCAAAUUCUUUCUGUCAUUUCACCUCAUGUGCUGAAGAAACUGUGCAAACUGGGGAUUCAAAGUGGUGCCAAGAGGUCACCUCUGUAACGUGCAAGGAAUAAAAAGCAGAAUGUGAUAAACAAACUGAUAUUUGCUUAAUUUGAUCUUAAAAAUCUUCAUGGAUGGGGAUUCCUUGGCCUUCCUGCCUGAUCUCCCCCAUCUUUAGCCAUCCUUAUAGUUGCUACUUCUAAUACCUAACAUCUCCUUCUGUGCCAUCUGAGCUAAUUGCCUUACCUUCAGUGAGCACAAGGAAUAAUUUAAUCACUCUUCUUUAAAACAGCCUGGCACGUCUGGCAGGAUUUUGGUUGCACCUCUUCUCAUCUCUGUUCUCUAAUGGCAGGGAAAUGGGUCCCUCCGUAUCCCACCAUGGGAAGCUCUGAGCUUCCUGGCAAGGAGGGGAAGAGCGGGAGGCAAUGUUCUGCUUCUGGGCUGGGGAAGAGCCUCUUAACAGUGGCUGCUCUGAGAAAGGUCCCCUUUCCAUGGGUUGCUGGAGUGAGGACCAGGAAGGGGUUAGGUAGGAGCAAGGACGCAGCAGAAAGCAGUGACUGAUGGAAGUCUGGGACAAAUGGCAAUUAAAAGUUUAGAGGGAAGGUGGAGCUUCAGGGCACCUUAGAGGAGAGAGGUCUCAUUUUUCAAAUUUGUUGUUGCUUUCUGUCACUUUGUAUGCAAUCUUUGGAGUGUUAAGAGAAGUGAAAAUGUUUGCAGCUCCUCUUUGGAGAGGGGAGAUCCUUUCCAGGCUGCUGCAGGGAGGUGGCACCUGGGGCUGGGCUGGUGCUGUGCUGGAUGCUCUCGGUGCACGGAGCAGCCCCGGUGCUGGAGUUGGGCAGUCGAGGCUUCCUCCCUCAUUUGCUGGACUGAUUUAGACAGGAUCAUGGAGACUAGACACUGUGUAGUAGUUUUUAGAGCUUGGAGAGAGGGAGAAUAGCAGGAAGGGCUCUCUGAUUUUUCCCUUAGCCAUCAUUUCCAGGGCAGCGGGUGGAAGCUUGCGAUCUCCUACUGUCCUUCAGAGACCUCUCCUUUUUUGCUGUUUUAUGCUGAAUCCCUAUGCUGAAUUCAGUACGCUGCAAGUUCUCUUGAUGUUUUAUUUUCCAUCCCUUGCAGACUUCUUUACCCUUUUUUUUCCCUGAGGCUCCAAUCCCUCUUGCUGUUUUGUGGUAAUUGGGGUGGUCUCCUUCUCUCCCCUCCCUCACUCCUUUCUUCCAACCUUAUCCUGGUUGUCUUUAUUUACUCUUCCUACUCCCGUUUCUCCUGCACUUUAUUCACCCACACCUACGUUUCUCUUGCUUGCAGCCCUGUUCCUCUCCUGUGUUACUUCCCACCCUGUUCUCAAUGCUCUGCACCAUGUAGCUGGUUUUCCCUCUGUGAAUCUUGCUCUGUGAGGUUUCCUACAUGAAGUAAAGAAACCCUUGGUGCUUUUGUAGUCAUUCCUCUCUUCCUGUUGCUGGCUCUGUCUCUCCCCCCCACCUGAGUGGAAUCUAAACAAUUAAAUUUCUCUAAAUAGCUCCUCUUCCCCUGUGUGCCUGACUCUUGCCCCAAGCCAGCUCCUGCCAGGCAGGAGGUGGCAGAGCAGUGGGUUCCCCUCGAGGUAGACACCCCUGGCUUCCUUGUGCUUUGCCAUCAGCCUUUCCAGAGGGUCAGCAUCCCUCCCAAAAUAGGCGCAAGCACCACUGGAAGCCACUGCCAGAGCCUGGCAUUGCCCCCAGGCUGCCUACGGAGCCACAGUUAAUAUCUUCCAGGUUUGCAUGGUCGGCAUUGUAAUGCAAGUAUUACAAAAAUGAUUUGAAUUCCAGUUCAGAAUUGUUUAUCAACUGUCCAAACUAAAUGAAAAUCAAAACUUGUCCUAGUACCUCUCUGCCAAAACCUCCUGGUUACAGACAGGUCUCCAAGACACAAUCUCUCCUUAAGCCUUAUAUGAUGAGGGAGGAAAGGAGAGGGCUGCUGCCCUGCCCCUCCCCUAACCUCCACUUUUUGGAACCUCCCUCUCUCCAUGAAUAACUCCAGUGUCUGCCACUGGUGCUGGGCAGAGCUUUGCCAAUCAUCCUCCUCAGCAGGAAGUGGACAUGAUUUUGAUAGUGUCACUCUACCACACACGAGACACUGAAUAGCAGCAAGAAAACUGAGCAGUUUUGUUAAUCUCACUGGUGUUUGGCAACCUCUCAGCAGCAGCCACAGAGGCACUACAGCUGUCUGUCUGCAGCCCCAGGAAUACAAUGCUGCAUUAUUUUAUAUUCGGCAGAUCAUCUUUCCAAUCAUAAGGUCUGGAACGUUUUAUAUAUUUACUUCUCCGUGAGGAAAGCUUCCUACUGUCACUAAUCAACAGAUUUUUCGAGACCCACUGUCUUGUGAGUUACAGAGAUAAAUGAAUUGGUACUUACAAAGCACUUUGGGGUCCUAAGGUGGAAAUACAAAAUAUUGUGUGUAUGUUUUGGAAACGACCUCGGAAUAAGUUACAUGGUAUGGUGUCAUUCCCAGUGAUGCAAGUCCAACCACAUCCUCCAUCCAAAUACUCCUGAAGGCUCAAUUUUUUUCCUCUGAUGUUCACAGAUGUUAAACUCACAUUGAUCCUGUUCUCCCUUCCCCAAUGUUAUUUUGGCAAAGAAAAAACAAAUCAAAUAAUAAACAUAAUGCAAAAAAAAGAAGACACAAUGAGGCAUUUUAACACUGUGUCCCUCAGAGUGCUAUACUUGUACUGUCUUAGAAAUAACACACAUUUAAAAUUAUAGUAAUGCACUGGUAGCAAACCAAGAGAGGUUAUCCUUUAGUAUGUCCAACUCUGGGCUCUUGUUUCUUUUGUUUCUUUCUUGUGUUUAAUUAGUAUUAGUCGUGUGAUUAGGCUGGACAAUUAUGGAGCAUAAAACCUGUGCCAGGUGACUUGAAAAUAUUAGUUCCCCCUCUGGAGCAUUUGCCCUCCAAAUGGGAGAGAGCAGGUGCCAGGAGGCAGCGCAGCAGCCGUGAGCCUGGGCAGCGUGGCAGACAGCAGCAGAGCUUUCUGGCAGCCCAGCUUUGUCCAGGUUUCCCAGGACAUGCAAGAGGAGAUGGCCGGGAUGCUGCCUCAGCACCGCUGCUUCCACUGGCCGUGCAGCCCUUCCGUCACUGCCAGCUGCAGUACCACCUCUGCACGUUGUUAUUUAUAUUUUCCUGCUGCACCAGCCCGGCUGCCCCUCAGGGCACCUCCACCCAAAGUGGUGACUUCAGCCCUGUGGAAUGAUGAGUGGGUUAUUUUGGAGAACCAGCUCAGCCUGGACCAGUGGCAGCAGGAGCUGGGAUGCUGUAUAGCUCAGUUCCCAGGGGCGGCUACCAAGUCUCUGGUGUUGAGUGUGUUGCUGUGCCCAAGCACAGGGCCAGGAGACAGGAUGGUGUCACUGACCCAGCUCAGGAAAUGGAGUGGGUGAAUGGUGGUUUGGCAGAGCUAGUGGGCAGAGGAUGAAUUUAACUCAAGAGUUGCAGCCUCAGGAUGAGCCCAUGUAAUGAAAGAUACUAUUGCAAAGCAUUGUUAAAACAGAGGUGUCCUGGUUCCCCUCCAGUAGGGAAAUGAGGUGUAUUGGCAUGUGGAAGAGCAGUCAUGAGAGAAGGGGAAGAAAGGUCAAAUGAGAAUGGCACUGACCUAAGCUGUCAAUACCCACUCUAGGCAGUAAGAGGGUACAGGGACUCGUGCUGGAAGGAGACAGAGAUGCCUGCAGGGAGUAUUUGGCAGCACAGCGGCACAUGCCUGGGACCUUGUGAUAACCCCUUGCCAUGAGAGGGGCUCACAGCACUGUCACCGGAGGUUUUGGGCACUGCUCUGUUCCAAUAUGCCACAGAUGCAAACAAAUACUUCCUCCCAGAGCAAUGCAUGGUGCAGUCAGGAGAGGUUACAACUCUUCUCUGACUUUAGCUUUACAGGUAUUUCAUUUGUUCCUCGCUGAGCUCCUCCAGCCACGCAGGCCAGGUUGCCCAAGAGUAGAGGCAGCGCACACAGACCUGCUCCAGAAGCAGCAUGUGGAUGAACUUGUGUGGCAGUAGAGCUCGGCACGAGUCUGUCUGUCAGCCUAAAUGAGCAAGAAAACUGCGCGGUGCCUUGGAGGCCAGCCCGACCCCCCUCCCGGUGAGCCGCGGGCAGAGGAGAGCGGCCGGGCUGUUCGUACCUGGUGCCGCGGGGCUCCGCCGUGCCCGGCAGCAGCUCUGCCCGGGGUCCUGCAGCCUGGGCACUGCCGUGCGGGGCCGGGCAGCCCCUGACCCCCGCAGGGUCGCUGCGGGCUGCCAGGGGGCACGAAGGCACCAGGGCUCCGGAAAGGCGCCUCUGCUCCCUCCUGCCCGGCCAGGGUCCCGGGGAGAGGGCAGCCCCGGUCCCGACCUGGAAGCGCCCUCGGCAGGAGCCGGUCCCGAGCCGCCCCCGCUCCGGCUUUAACCCGCCCGGUGCCAGCGCCCGGUCGGCAGCGCUGAGACACCGGGGGGAACCGGGCCGGGGUGUCCGGGGUCCGCCGCGGCGAGCCCGAGCGCGGCGGGCCGGGCCUGGCUCCGCCGCCCUUUGUCCGCCGCCCCGGGGCAGGUGCGGGCGGCGCGGCCGGGGACAAAGCGGCCGCGGGCUCCCGGGCUGCUCCCGCCGCCGAGCCCGGCACCGAGCGCGCUCCUCCGGCGCGGU